CCGCUCUCCGCGCCGCUCUUGAUGUCCGCGUAACAGUCGUGCUGAAAUUUACGACCCUGCAUUGUUUAAUCACAGACCACAGACACAAAGCGACGGCGAGCAGCGGCGAUAAAGUUGGCCAUUGUGUUGAGUUAGCCCUGAAAGUCAUAUGAAGUUCCUGCGACAAUUCAAAGGAAUGCAGACAAAGUUCGACAAGUGGCGCGGCUCGGGAGACAAUUAAAACGGAAUCGGAAAACUUGAUUGUCUGCCUAUUUCGUCGGGUGGAAUGGGAGCCGCGAACCCGACGGCGGAGAUUUUCGAGAUGACGAUUAGAGAAUGAGUCCCGAAGCACACGCUGACCCAUGGACUGAAUGAGAGAAAUUACAGCAAGAGCAAAAAACAUUGCUUUUAUUUCCCCACCUUCAAGUUGCCGCGCACUCAGAAACCAUGGAAAACAUUGAGACGAAUAUUCUGGGAGGCUUGUGGUUUUGCUGGCUUACCGUUACAUAAAAAUGGAAAUUUGUGUCUCCCAGACGCAUUACAAGUCUGUCGUCGAUGUUGGGCGAAUCGAAAGUUGAAAACGUGGGACGAAGCCUCCAGGACAAUUUUUUUACCGGUGCGAAAGAAAAAUAAAAUAAGUAAGUAUUUCUCGCGCUACAUGUUGUCGAUCGGAUUGCCUUCGGGAAUCAAACUCUCUCUCCUUCUGCCCAAUUGCAAAUAAUCGCCUGGAGGCCACUUCAAUGAUGCGGCGGGGACCGGGUUGCGAUCAUUAGUUCGACAUUGACAUGAAGAAUACGAUUUCGAUUGCGAUAUCGCAUGGCCGCCAAUUGAAAAGAACCGGACCGACGCCAAGGGUCAGCGUUCGGGAUAUAUACCUAACCGGAUCUCCUGGAGUGGUUUUUGUUUGCGUGUUCAUCGUGAAGCGCGGUAUUUCUUUUAUAGUUUUCCCGCAACGGCCCAACGUAAUAAAUAAAUUUUGUUAAUUGUAUCGGCUAAUGAGAUAAAAAAAAGUUAGAUAUAUGCCUCGCUAUCUUUUUUAGUGUUUUAUUUAAGGUACUAACCAAACGCAUUUUUUUGGAGGCUAAUGACGGUGAAAAAAAAAAAGAAUAUGAAAGACCUCUCAUCUAUCCCCAGAGAGAUUAUUUAAGGCGAUCGAAUGUCGACGCCGUUUGGUAUUUCGUUUUAAUUAACGCCGAAGGGGGUGGGCGGGGGAUGGGCCUUGUUAACGUGACAGUUUAAGUGACGACGGGCGGCGACGGCGGCGGCUAAAAAAUCGCGCGUCUUAUCUGCGGAAAUUUGAUAUCGCGUAAUUUUACACUUUUGCCGACGCGACAAAAGGGAAGCGACGUUAAUUGCGUUUUUCGUUGAGGUGGUUGCGAUAGGGCCGGAGGGUGGGAAGCGAAAUGAGCUGCGAAUCGGCAAAUAAUGACGUAGCCUUUUCAAUAAAAUUCACACACUUCGCGGAUUCGUUUUAACAAAGUUCAGUAGAUACGUAAAGAACUAACCAAAACUAACCAUAUACUUCUAGCUGUCAUAACUUGGGGAAGGCAUUCAUCGCCAAAUUGGCACGCGUACUGUCGUCGACUAUAUGCAUUUUUCUCGAAAUAAAUUGAUGUAUGCAUUUUUUUUUUGUAUAGAACGCGUUAAUAAAACGCGGGGGGUCGGUUUUGAAUUAAUGCCCGCCCCUGCGAACGGGAUCGAUUAAAACGAGAGCGUUAAAACUAAACCGACGCCCGACGUCCAAACGGCAAAUCGAAUUUCGACAGAUUGACGCGUUGUUCAUUUCGCUGCACUUAUAAAUAAUUCACCGACACGGGUGUACCGAAUUAGAUGGCCGGCAUAAAUGGCACCUACUCCCUCACACACCCAUGCGGUUUUGAACAUGCCCGGCGUGGAAUCCGUCAUUU
This is a long non-coding RNA of Cylas formicarius (sweet potato weevil), 1886 nucleotides long. RefSeq lists it as uncharacterized. The record is from RefSeq and is a predicted model, not a curated record. The transcript is spliced from 6 exons. NCBI's taxonomy places the organism in Eukaryota, Metazoa, Arthropoda, Insecta, Coleoptera, Brentidae.